This 1046-nucleotide long non-coding RNA is filed under the name Mytilus galloprovincialis (Mediterranean mussel). The record is from RNAcentral. Lineage: Eukaryota; Metazoa; Mollusca; Bivalvia; Mytilida; Mytilidae.
GGCAUUUUCAACAUGAUGAAAAAAAUAAAUAACAACAUAUAUGAAUAGAUAUGUUACAGCUCAUAGUGGGAUACCAUCCCGAAAACAUUUCAAUAUUCAGUCUUUUGUUACAGUGAUUUUGACCUUUUUCAUAUUUACCCCAUAAUCUAUACCUUUUUAUUUCGUCCCUUUGAAUGAGAUUCAAUCCGAACAAGCAAAGGAUAAUAAUGGUACCUUCCGAAAACCAUUUUACCCCAAACAUAUUUGUUUUAGAAAAAAACAAUUUAUAGAAUAUUAUUUUCAGUAUGGCGACGGACCACCUAAAACCAAAUGAUGAGUAGGAUUUCUGUCAAAUAAUUUGUUUUUAGUGUAUUUUAGUAGCUUAAUUCGUUUUAGAUUAACGACGAAAUAGUAAAAACAAGCCAAAUUGAUCAGUUGGAUGAACCUUACCUCGAAUUUGAUUCAUUUUAGAUCAUUGUGCUCAUUUUAUGGAAAGACACGUACGGACAGAAAUAUAUGUACAUAUGAUAUUUCAAGAUUGAUCACUUUUCCUACCUUGAAAUAUGAAUUCAUAUGCAUGGAACGAAAGGAAUUGGUUUCUUCAAAAUGAAUGUACCCAGUAACAGGUUUCAUUGCAAUCAAGCAAGGUAAACUCGUGUAACAAUCCGGUAACCAUUUUCUUUUAUAAACUUUUGUUUAGUAAAAGAAACAUUAAAUGGGCAUUUUCUCCACAGUAUCUUUCCACUGUAUAAAUGUCAUUUAAAUCUGGCAGGGUUUAGUCAAGUUAUUAUAUCACAUCCUUCUUUUAGUAACAGUGACAUUAUGUCGUAAUCAAUAGGCUCUCUAUGUUAUAAGUAACGAAGACAAAAACGGAAGGAUAGACGGAUCACUGAAAAAGCAAUAGAUAUAUGGUUCCGUUUUAUUUUCAUGGAGAUAAAAAAAAAACACCAGAAAACAGAUUAUUUUCAACAGCAAGAAUUAACUCGAUUGUAUACACACUUCACUAUUUGAUUAAUCGUUAAUAAAAUUUUGAAGUUUUCAUUCAUUUGUACAGUUGAAUAUUAAAG